AUGGCCGAUGCCGUCCGGGAGCGGCUCCGCGUGGACAGGCGGGCCCCUCCCAGUGGAAAGGAGCCAUUCCCACGGCGGUUAAGGGACAGGCAGGUUGAGGAGAAGGUGCCCCAGCCUGCAUGCCCAUGGUCCCAGGAGAUGAAAUUACCCCUGGAGAAGUGUCUUGGGGACGUCCGCCCAGCACAAAGCUCGUUCACCAUCCUUAAAGACCACAUCAGGACUAUAGGCUUAAAAGCAAAGUUUAUUCCUAAAGUUGCCUGCAAAAUAGCUGUACCUAUUUGCCUUUUCACCUGAAGCAGCUUUAGGAUGCAAAUGCACACCAGGACCCCCUCAGUUUUUUGGAGCAGAAGAGCCACGUUUUCCCCUUGGCUGUUACACAUUCGCAAGAAGCAGAAUAACCAUGACUAUCUGAGUAUGCAACCCCCCCACCAAACCCCAACAGGGACCAAGGAAAAUGCAUCCGAAAAAAGCUUCCCUUUUCCUUUCCUUCUCAGGGAAUCGAUGACUCAGUGUCACUAACAGGACAUCACACAGUUAAACGUGCAACACGCCAUGCUGCUUUAUGGCGACGUCGUUUCUGCGUCUUUAGAAAAAGCACCCCACGCGCUCAUUUUCACUGCUUAAGGUUAGAAAGAUGGCGUUACCGUUGGCGGGAAGGUAGGUGAAACGCUGGUACUGGCUUCGCUUUCUCUUCCCGUUGCAGACGUAGAAACUGACGUGAACAGGGCUGGUUAUCCUCUGAUUCCGAAAU
Rhinopithecus roxellana (golden snub-nosed monkey) is the source of this 751-nucleotide long non-coding RNA. RefSeq lists it as uncharacterized. NCBI's taxonomy places the organism in Eukaryota, Metazoa, Chordata, Mammalia, Primates, Cercopithecidae. The record is from RefSeq and is a predicted model, not a curated record. The transcript has 2 exons.